GUAGUCAUAUGCUUGUCUCAAAGAUUAAGCCAUGCAUGUCUAUGUACACGCCGAUGCAAUGGUGAAACCGCGAAUGGCUCAUUAAAUCAGUUAUGGUUUCUUGGAAUUUGAUCCUUUUGGAUAACUGUGGCAAUUCUAGAGCUAAUACAUGAUUCUACGCACCCGGCUCACGCCGGGAGCGUGCUUUUAUUAGACAACCUGUGGAUGGAAGGCCUCGCGUUUUCCGUCCGCGUUCAAAGGUGGUGAAUCUGUAUAACUCGUUUUGUCUAUCGCUCAGGCCAUCGCGCCGGCGAAGUUCUUUCAAGUGUCUGCUCUAUCAACUGUCGAUGGUAGGUUAUACGCCUACCAUGGUUGUGACGGGUAACGGAGAAUCAGGGUUCGAUUCCGGAGAAGGAGCCUGAGAGACGGCUACUACUUCCAAGGAAGGCAGCAGGCGCGUAAAUUACCCAAUCCCGGCACGGGGAGGUAGUGACGAAAAAUAACGAUGCGGGGCUCUAAAAGAGUCUCCGUGAUUGGAAUGAGUACGGUCCAAACCCUCUAACGAGGAUCUAUUGGAGGGCAAGUCUGGUGCCAACAGCCGCGGUAAUUCCAGCUCCAAUAGCGUAUAUUAAAGCUGUUGCGGUUAAAAAGCUCGUAGUUGAAACCGUUGGGACUCGUACAAAAGUUACCGAGUGUAACGCCUGUGCGUUGUCACCAUCGGGGGUAGACGUUCCUUGUCCUCUUCACUGAGUGGCUUGGAGUGUCUAUCAUAUAUCACUUUGAUUAAAUUAGAGUGCUCAAAGCAGGCCUUGCGCCUAAAUAGCAGUGCACGGAAUGAUGGAAUACGUUGCUGUUCUGUUUGUCUGGUUUUUUGGAUACGGCAAGAUGAUCGAGAGGAACACCCGGAGGUGAACGUAUUGCAGCGAGAGAGGUGAAAUUCUUGGACCGUUGCAAGACGAACUACAGCGAAAGCAUUCGCCGAGAGUGUUUUCAUUGAUCAAGAACGAAAGUUAGAGGUGCGAAGGCGAUCAGAUACCGCCCUAGUUCUAACAGUAAACGAUGCCUACUCGCAAUCCGCCUCGGUUCUUUAACUGACUGGGCGGGCAGCUCCGGUAAACCAAAGUGAGGUUCCGGGGGGAGUAUGGUUGCAAAGCUGA
This 1136-nucleotide ribosomal RNA is filed under the name Acanthodavacarus klompeni. Its description in RNAcentral is "bacterial SSU rRNA". It matches the Rfam family "Eukaryotic small subunit ribosomal RNA", at positions 20 to 1140 of the family's 1831-position model. Lineage: Eukaryota; Metazoa; Arthropoda; Arachnida; Mesostigmata; Davacaridae. The record is from RNAcentral.